Macaca mulatta (Rhesus monkey) is the source of this 713-nucleotide non-coding RNA. Lineage: Eukaryota; Metazoa; Chordata; Mammalia; Primates; Cercopithecidae. The record is from RefSeq and is a predicted model, not a curated record.
AAGAUCUAUCCAGUGGUGGUAGAAUAAUACCUAAUAUUACCUAAUAAUACCUAAGAGCAUAGUCCCUAUAGAUAGGGGUGGUUUUGUAACUGCAUGAAGUGUUGGUUUUCUAAUGAGCUUUAGUAGGUUUAUUUGCCUUGGAAAUCAGUGGAGAUGGGACACUGAAAAUCAAAUGAUGUCAUAAAACAAAAUUCCUUAAGAGGCAUGGAGAGAAAAUUCUACAUUCUGAUGACGGGGUUGUAGAAAUCCAAUGCCUUGCACAGGCCCCUGAUGGAUCCCAUGAGCAGUAGGAGGGGGUUAUUACUAGAGAAGAUGCAGACAAAGGCCUGUCCCUGCAAGUUAGUUCCCUGAGCUGAUGAAUCAAGAAAAGAAAGCAUGCACCCACCUUUAAGGAUUUCUAGUUCAGCCAACCCAGACCUGUCACAUCAUGCUAUUUUCUGGGUUACUUUUGGAGGGAUACCAUAAGACAGCGAAGAAAUUAAUGCAUCAGGGGACUUCAAGCAGAAAAAUCCAUCUGACCUGGUGACAGUUGCUCUGGUACAAUCAAAGAGGAGGAAAAAGCAACUUUGCUGAACUUGGUCACAGAGAGAACUUUGAAGCCCACUGCAAGACUGUCCAGGAGAAAGGAACUGUAAGAAAAAUAUCUCAUGGUUGUUGGUCUAAAUCUGACUUCCUGAUGCUCUGUUCCAUUUUAAUGAAAAUUUUAAGCCGUG